AGAGUUUGAUCCUGGCUCAGAUUGAACGCUGGCGGCAGGCUUAACACAUGCAAGUCGAGCGGGGAAGAGUAGCUUGCUACUUUACCUAGCGGCGGACGGGUGAGUAAUGCUUAGGAAUCUGCCUAUUAGUGGGGGACAACAUCUCGAAAGGGAUGCUAAUACCGCAUACGUCCUACGGGAGAAAGCAGGGGACCUUCGGGCCUUGCGCUAAUAGAUGAGCCUAAGUCGGAUUAGCUAGUUGGUGGGGUAAAGGCCUACCAAGGCGACGAUCUGUAGCGGGUCUGAGAGGAUGAUCCGCCACACUGGGACUGAGACACGGCCCAGACUCCUACGGGAGGCAGCAGUGGGGAAUAUUGGACAAUGGGGGGAACCCUGAUCCAGCCAUGCCGCGUGUGUGAAGAAGGCCUUUUGGUUGUAAAGCACUUUAAGCGAGGAGGAGGCUACCGAGAUUAAUACUCUUGGAUAGUGGACGUUACUCGCAGAAUAAGCACCGGCUAACUCUGUGCCAGCAGCCGCGGUAAUACAGAGGGUGCAAGCGUUAAUCGGAUUUACUGGGCGUAAAGCGCGCGUAGGUGGCCAAUUAAGUCAAAUGUGAAAUCCCCGAGCUUAACUUGGGAAUUGCAUUCGAUACUGGUUGGCUAGAGUAUGGGAGAGGAUGGUAGAAUUCCAGGUGUAGCGGUGAAAUGCGUAGAGAUCUGGAGGAAUACCGAUGGCGAAGGCAGCCAUCUGGCCUAAUACUGACACUGAGGUGCGAAAGCAUGGGGAGCAAACAGGAUUAGAUACCCUG
Molecule: ribosomal RNA, 787 nt
Filed under: uncultured bacterium
Lineage: Bacteria
Description: bacterial SSU rRNA
Rfam family: Bacterial small subunit ribosomal RNA
Source: RNAcentral